GGGAGUAUAGUAUAACUUGGCAGUACUACGGGCUCCAAACCCGUUGAUCGGGGUUCAAAUCCCUGUGCUCCCACCU
Molecule: transfer RNA, 76 nt
Filed under: uncultured marine group II/III euryarchaeote KM3_193_A06
Lineage: Archaea; Methanobacteriati; Methanobacteriota
Description: tRNA-Trp
Rfam family: tRNA
About the family: Transfer RNA (tRNA) molecules are approximately 80 nucleotides in length. Their secondary structure includes four short double-helical elements and three loops (D, anti-codon, and T loops).
Source: RNAcentral